UCACAAACAUCCUGUCUGAAUUUAAAAGUAAUCCUCAAAGUAAUUAUCUUGUUUUUCAAAAGUAUCUGUUAAUCUGAUGACAAUAUUUUUUGCUGUGUUUAACAGGUGCAAAGAAUUCCCAGUCAAGAGUGUGGCCGUCUGUGAGAAUUGUCUUUCUCUGCCGUACUUCAGCUGAACUGCAGUACCGGAAAUACCCUCUGAAGAUCAGUUGUAGCCUCCUGAGUCAGCUGUUGUACUCCACUGACCCAACGAUACGAUCGCAGAGAAACAUGCUGAUCUAGAGACAGACUGAUUUCUGAUGAAAGUCAGUUCCUCUUAAUUGUGGGGUUGCAAUGUCUACAACUUCAGGGUCAUUUAAACAGGCUAAGCAAGCUUUUUAUGUCAGUGAAGGACGUGCUAGCUACCUAACUAUGUCCGUAAGCUAGCCAGCUACAACAGUUGGCUACACAGCUGAUCAAGUCACUGCAAUGCGACCAAACUCCUUGCACAGAAUUUGUGCAGGAUAAUUUUUUUCUCACAAUUGCAAAUUAUUAAAUCACUGUCAAAAAGUUUAGAAUAAUUUAGCUAGCUAGUUUUUCUCCAUAAUUCAUGGUGUCAUACGAGGGCGCAGUGAUAAAAUAAAAAUAACUUUUUUUAUGGGAAUGCUUGUUAUUUGAAUAUGAGUUCCACAUCCUACGAGACAGAUCAGUAGAAGGACUAGCGUAGUGAGGAGUGAAGCCAUCUGACGUGAGACAAUGUCCUCCUACAGUACUGAUCCACCUGACAUGGGUUCCAAAUAUUUUAAAUACUUUCUGUGCAUGAUUGAGCUUUACCUGGCACAAUGGUACAAAUAGAGUCUCAAAAGUGCAUCCACCCCACACCUCUGGCACUCCAGACAGGGCUUAAUCUAACGCUCACAAGUAUUUGAAAAAUAUUGAAUACUUUUGAAUCCCAGGUCGGUAUGCUAGACAGAGCUGUAAUCCAUAUAGUGGUGAUUUAGAUUAGAGCUGCUGCGUCACUCGAUACUGUGAUAGAACUACGCCUUGGGCUGUCUGGUCCACCACCACGUCCCUAUUGUAAUCAACCACAGGGGUGAGAAGGCAGUCUAUCAUUCUCCACCAGGCACGUCCACAUAUCCAGGUCAGGUUUAUCAAACAGACUUUGGUUCAUACUAACACAUUCUCAUGUCCUGUUAUGUCAUCUCAACUCUACAUAUUCAGAUUGUUCCGCCAAGGACACUCUUUUCAGUUUGAGUCUGUUAUUCCUUGGGAACUGGUCCUAUAUCCAAUAAACUUCAGUAUUACACUAUAUAUACAAAAGUAUGGGGACACACCUUCAAAAUAGUUAAUUUGGCUAUUUCAGGCAUACCUGUUGAUGAUGG
Molecule: long non-coding RNA, 1360 nt
Organism: Oncorhynchus kisutch (coho salmon)
Lineage: Eukaryota; Metazoa; Chordata; Actinopteri; Salmoniformes; Salmonidae
Exons: 3
Source: RefSeq, a predicted model, not a curated record